UACGUAGGGUGCAAGCGUUAUCCGGAAUUAUUGGGCGUAAAGAGCUCGUAGGCGGUUUGUCGCGUCUGCCGUGAAAGUCCGGGGCUCAACUCCGGAUCUGCGGUGGGUACGGGCAGACUAGAGUGCAGUAGGGGAGACUGGAAUUCCUGGUGUAGCGGUGAAAUGCGCAGAUAUCAGGAGGAACACCGAUGGCGAAGGCAGGGUCUCCUGGGCGUGUAACUGACGCUGGAGGAGCGAAAGCUGGGGAGCGAACAGG
Molecule: ribosomal RNA, 256 nt
Filed under: uncultured bacterium
Lineage: Bacteria
Description: partial 16S ribosomal RNA
Rfam family: Bacterial small subunit ribosomal RNA
Source: RNAcentral